This 253-nucleotide ribosomal RNA is filed under the name uncultured bacterium. RNAcentral's name for it is "partial 16S ribosomal RNA". It matches the Rfam family "Bacterial small subunit ribosomal RNA", at positions 524 to 776 of the family's 1533-position model. The record is from RNAcentral.
UACGUAGGGAGCAAGCGUUGUCCGGAAUCAUUGGGCGUAAAGCGCACGUAGGCGGCUUCUUAAGUCAGGGGUGAAAUCCUGGAGCUCAACUCCAGAACUGCCUUUGAUACUGAGAAGCUUGAGUCCGGGAGAGGUGAGUGGAACUGCGAGUGUAGAGGUGAAAUUCGUAGAUAUUCGCAAGAACACCAGUGGCGAAGGCGGCUCACUGGCCCGGUACUGACGCUGAGGUGCGAAAGCGUGGGGAGCAAACAGG